RNAcentral lists this ribosomal RNA (252 nucleotides) under uncultured bacterium. Its description in RNAcentral is "partial 16S ribosomal RNA". It matches the Rfam family "Bacterial small subunit ribosomal RNA", at positions 524 to 776 of the family's 1533-position model. The record is from RNAcentral.
UACGAAGGGGGCUAGCGUUGUUCGGAAUUACUGGGCGUAAAGCGCACGUAGGCGGAUAUUUAAGUCAGGGGUGAAAUCCCAGAGCUCAACUCUGGAACAGCCUUUGAUACUGGGUAUCUUGAGUAUGAAGAGGUGAGUGGAAUUCCGAGUGUAGAGGUGAAAUUCGUAGAUAUUCGGAGGAACACCAGUGGCGAAGGCGGCUCACUGGUCCAUUACUGACGCUGAGGUGCGAAAGCGUGGGGAGCAAACAGG